RNAcentral lists this ribosomal RNA (136 nucleotides) under fungal sp. RNAcentral's name for it is "partial large subunit ribosomal RNA". It matches the Rfam family "Eukaryotic large subunit ribosomal RNA", at positions 1 to 133 of the family's 3401-position model. Lineage: Eukaryota; Fungi. The record is from RNAcentral.
GUUUGAUCUCAAAUCAGGUAGGACUACCCGCUGAACUUAAGCAUAUCAAUAAGCGGAGGAAAAGAAACUAACAAGGAUUCCCCUAGUAACUGCGAGUGAAGCGGGAAGAGCUCAAAUUUAAAAUCUGGCGUGCCUC